AUAAGUUCAAUCUUGACUUUACACUAGCUCUAGCGUUCUUUACAUCACUUUAUGUUGCAAACUCAUGCAAUCACAUUCUUUACAUCUUCAUUACUCUUGCUAAUUCUAGCAUUCUUGUUCGUUACAAUUCUUGUUCUCGUUGCCCCACUUUACUUUAAUUUUACACGUUGUCACUUUCUUCAUUCUUUACCUCACUUUAGUUCUUUACAUCACACUAACUCUAGUGUCAUUUCACAUUAGCUUUA
RNAcentral lists this long non-coding RNA (245 nucleotides) under Ananas comosus (pineapple). RNAcentral describes it as "long non-coding RNA (ACOM_LNC043443)". The record is from RNAcentral. Lineage: Eukaryota; Viridiplantae; Streptophyta; Magnoliopsida; Poales; Bromeliaceae.